CCUACGGGUGGCAGCAGUGGGGAAUAUUGCACAAUGGGCGCAAGCCUGAUGCAGCCAUGCCGCGUGUGUGCAGAAGGCCUUCGGGUUGUAAAGCACUUUCAGCGGGGAGGAAGGCGUUAAGGUUAAUAACCUUGGCGAUUGACGUUACCCGCAGAAGAAGCACCGGCUAACUCCGUGCCAGCAGCCGCGGUAAUACGGAGGGUGCAAGCGUUAAUCGGAAUUACUGGGCGUAAAGCGCACGCAGGCGGUCUGUCAAGUCGGAUGUGAAAUCCCCGGGCUCAACCUGGGAACUGCAUUCGAAACUGGCAGGCUAGAGUCUUGUAGAGGGGGGUAGAAUUCCAGGUGUAGCGGUGAAAUGCGUAGAGAUCUGGAGGAAUACCGGUGGCGAAGGCGGCCCCCUGGACAAAGACUGACGCUCAGGUGCGAAAGCGUGGGGAGCAAACAGGAUUAGAUACCCCAGUAGUC
RNAcentral lists this ribosomal RNA (465 nucleotides) under uncultured Klebsiella sp. RNAcentral describes it as "bacterial SSU rRNA". It matches the Rfam family "Bacterial small subunit ribosomal RNA", at positions 338 to 795 of the family's 1533-position model. Lineage: Bacteria; Pseudomonadati; Pseudomonadota; Gammaproteobacteria; Enterobacterales; Enterobacteriaceae. The record is from RNAcentral.